Molecule: ribosomal RNA, 484 nt
Filed under: uncultured bacterium
Lineage: Bacteria
Description: partial 16S ribosomal RNA
Rfam family: Bacterial small subunit ribosomal RNA
Source: RNAcentral
AUUGAACGCUGGCGGCAUGCUUUACACAUGCAAGUCGAACGGCAGCGCGGGCUUCGGCCUGGCUGCGAGUGGCGAACGGGUGAGUAAUGCAUCGGAACGUGCCCAGUAGUGGGGGAUAGCCCGGCGAAAGCCGGAUUAAUACCUCAUACGACCUGAGGUCGAAAGCGGGGGUCCGAAAGGCCUCGCGCGAUUGGAGCGGCCGUGGGCGGAUUCGCUAGUUGGUGGGGUAAAGGCUUACCAAGGCGACGAUCGGUAGCUGGCCUGAGAGGAGGACCGGCCAAAUGGGAACGGAGAAACGGCCCAGACUCCUACGGGAGGCAGCAGUGGGGAAUUUUGGACAAUGGGGGAAACCCUGAUGCAGAAAGGCGGGGUGCGGGAGGCGGGCCUUGGGGUGGUAAGCUGCGUUUGUUCGGGAGGAAGUCCUUUGGGCUAAUACCGCGGGGGGAUGACGGUACCGGAAGAAAAAGCAACGGCUAACUACGUG